RNAcentral lists this ribosomal RNA (506 nucleotides) under uncultured bacterium. Its description in RNAcentral is "partial 16S ribosomal RNA". It matches the Rfam family "Bacterial small subunit ribosomal RNA", at positions 29 to 523 of the family's 1533-position model. The record is from RNAcentral.
AGUGAACGCUGGCGGUAGGCCUAACACAUGCAAGUCGAACGGCAGCACAGGAGAGCUUGCUCUCUGGGUGGCGAGUGACGGACGGGUGAGGAAUACAUCGGAAUCUACUUUUUCGUGGGGGAUAACGUAGGGAAACUUACGCUAAUACCGCAUACGACCUACGGGUGAAAGCAGGGGACCUUCGGGCCCUGCGUGUUUGUAUGCGCCGAUGUCGGAUUAGCAAGUUGGCGGGGUAAAGGCCCACCAAGGCGACGAUCCGUAGCUGGUCUGAGAGGAUGAUCAGCCACACUGGAACUGAGACACGGUCCAGACUCCUACGGGAGGCAGCAGUGGGGAAUAUUGGACAAUGGGCGCAAGCCUGAUCCAGCCAUACCGCGUGGGUGAAGAAGGCCUUCGGGUUGUAAAGCCCUUUUGUUGGGAAAGAAAUCCAGCUGGCUAAUACCCGGUUGGGAUGACUGUACCCAAAGAAUAAGCACCGGCUAACUUCGUGCCAGCCGCCGCCGUAA